ACAAAACUCUUUGUAGUGGUAUUAUAUGGUAUAGCAUUUAUAUUUGUUUUGAUUGGACAUACUGGAAUAAAUAAACAUGUUUAUUAGAAUGAGGCCUCCCAAUACUUUUGUCUAGCGUAUUUGCCACAGACAGGGUAACGCAAUCCUUAGAGUGUGCUUCUUUGUAAAUGUGACAAAUGAAAAUGACCUGAUCCAUCAUUUCCAGCUCCAGUGGGCAUCCUUUAUCCAUCCAGACCCUCAUACAGAUGGUUGGAGUUUUGAUUCACCUAAAGUACCAUGCAAGAGCACUCAUUUUCCCUCUUGAGACCAUGGUGUGACCUGCAAGGUCGAAUGGAGACUGUAAACGAGACAAUCUUGGAGUCACCUGCAUUCACUGGUCCAGUUGUUAG
Long non-coding RNA from Paramisgurnus dabryanus, 389 nucleotides. RefSeq lists it as uncharacterized. The record is from RefSeq and is a predicted model, not a curated record. Lineage: Eukaryota; Metazoa; Chordata; Actinopteri; Cypriniformes; Cobitidae.